RNAcentral lists this long non-coding RNA (430 nucleotides) under Anas platyrhynchos platyrhynchos (common mallard). Its description in RNAcentral is "lncRNA (ENSAPLG00000022317.1)". The record is from RNAcentral. Lineage: Eukaryota; Metazoa; Chordata; Aves; Anseriformes; Anatidae.
CUAAAUGAGCUCUGCUUUCACAAAGCACAUCUGCUGGAAGAGCGUAAGCUGCUGUGAUGACAAAGCAGGCUCACACUUCGUGAGCUUCCCCCACUGCAGGGAAGCUACUGCAGUAUCUGAGCUUCCAGGAAUACUCAUAAAAACUACCAGGCAGUUACAGAAAAUAAUAAUGUUUAAUGUAGCAAAAGAUGAUUAGUGGCCCUCAGUGUGCAGUUUAUAGGAAGGAUGGCUUGUUGCAGGCCAGAGAGGCACCUCUGAGGGUGGGUCUCCAAGACACGGUGCAGGAGGGGUGCUCUGCUCCCAUUUUUUCAGUCAGUCACCACCAUAGAGGUCACUCCAGCCCCACUGGCUCCACCACACCUGCUGCCACUGGGAGGGUCUGGGUUAGCACACAGAAAAUACCAUCCCAACAAGGAUUAAUUGAAGAGAU